UUUUUUUCAAUGUAUCAUACAAAUUAAUCAUAUUUUACAGAAUUUUCAUCUAAUUGAAAAAUGCUUCUCUUCCGUUAUUUUAUUAGAUUACUUAUUAAAACACAAUUUUAAUGAUAAAAUAAUACUUUAACAGUGGCGGAUCAAGGGGCGUAGAUAGUGUACGUCCCCUAAUCAUGUUUUUUCACAGAUAUUUGUAGCCGAUAUUUAUUUCUUUUUGUAUAGGUACCCCCCUUUUUAAAUCGAAUUUAAAUUGAAUUUUCGCAAAGAAAAUGAUAGUGUUACAUUUUAUUUUUUUCAAAACUGAAAAAAGAAACAUUUAGUAAUUGUUUCCAAAAUUAAGGGAAUUCGUAAUAAUUCUAUGUAGUUUGAAAAGGGUUUCUUGAAAUUGGUCACAUUAAUUUAUUGCUUUUUCUUAUAAAAUGAAAACAAAUGAAGAUCUUGACCUUUUAGUACGUUUUACAGUUUCCUAAAUAUUUUAGAGGCGGAUACAUUUAAAAAAAAAAAAGGUGGAGCUU
This 515-nucleotide long non-coding RNA is filed under the name Mytilus galloprovincialis (Mediterranean mussel). Lineage: Eukaryota; Metazoa; Mollusca; Bivalvia; Mytilida; Mytilidae. The record is from RNAcentral.